UACCUCUAGUUACCAUGAUUUUAUAUAUUCUAUUAUUUGGACCAGAUCAUGGAUCAUGAAUAUUUGUUUAGCCCUAAUCCAGUAACCUAACAUGUAUAUUCUGGAUGAUUAACAUGUACUUACUUUUUAAUUUUAUUUUGCUAACCUGUAAUUCUAUUUCUAAUAUUAUAUCUUAUAUAUGUAUUUAACAUAAAAUAAUACAUGACAGAAUUUUCAUUCAUAUAUAUAUAAUUAAAACGGAUUAAUAGAUUACCUAGAUCGCUUAAUUAGACGUCUAAACCAUAA
This 285-nucleotide long non-coding RNA is filed under the name Brassica napus (rape). RNAcentral describes it as "long non-coding RNA (BNAP_LNC027090)". Lineage: Eukaryota; Viridiplantae; Streptophyta; Magnoliopsida; Brassicales; Brassicaceae. The record is from RNAcentral.